RNAcentral lists this ribosomal RNA (431 nucleotides) under uncultured bacterium. Its description in RNAcentral is "partial 16S ribosomal RNA". It matches the Rfam family "Bacterial small subunit ribosomal RNA", at positions 29 to 507 of the family's 1533-position model. The record is from RNAcentral.
AACGAACGCUGGCGGCAGGCUUAACACAUGCAAGUCGAGCGAACCGCUAGGUGAGCGGCAGCUGGGUGAGUAACGCGUGGGAAUCUACUCAACCCUACGGAAUAACCCAGGGAAACUUGGACUAAUACCGUAUACGCCCGUUUGGGGAAAGAUUUAUCUGGGAUGGAUGAGCCCGCGAGUGAUUAGCGAGUUGGUAGGGUAAAGGCCUACGAGAGCGACGAUCUAUAGCUGGUCUGAGAGGAUCGUCAUCCACAUUGGGACUGAGACACGGCCCAAAAUCCUACGGGAGGCAGCAGUGGGGAAUAUUGGACAGUGGGCGCAAGCCUGAAGCAGCCAUGCCGCGUGAGUGAUGAAGGCAGUAGGGUUGUAAAGCUCUUUCAAUAGGGAAGAUAAUGACGGUACCUACAGAAGAAGCCCCGGCUAACUUCGUG